RNAcentral lists this ribosomal RNA (384 nucleotides) under uncultured bacterium. RNAcentral's name for it is "bacterial SSU rRNA". It matches the Rfam family "Bacterial small subunit ribosomal RNA", at positions 28 to 412 of the family's 1533-position model. The record is from RNAcentral.
GACGAACGCUGGCGGCGUGCUUAACACAUGCAAGUCGAGCGGUGAACCGGAGCUUGCUCCGGGGAUCAGCGGCGAACGGGUGAGUAACACGUGGGCAACCUGCCCUCAGCUCUGGGAUAACUCCGGGAAACCGGGGCUAAUACCGGAUACGACUUCCUGCGGCAUCACGGGAAGUGGAAAGUUUUUUCGGCUGAGGAUGGGCCCGCGGCCUAUCAGCUUGUUGGUGGGGUAACGGCCCACCAAGGCGACGACGGGUAGCCGGCCUGAGAGGGCGACCGGCCACACUGGGACUGAGACACGGCCCAGACUCCUACGGGAGGCAGCAGUGGGGAAUAUUGCGCAAUGGGCGAAAGCCUGACGCAGCGACGCCGCGUGAGGGAUGAA